Molecule: transfer RNA, 67 nt
Filed under: Dipodomys ordii (Ord's kangaroo rat)
Lineage: Eukaryota; Metazoa; Chordata; Mammalia; Rodentia; Heteromyidae
Rfam family: tRNA
About the family: Transfer RNA (tRNA) molecules are approximately 80 nucleotides in length. Their secondary structure includes four short double-helical elements and three loops (D, anti-codon, and T loops). Further hydrogen bonds mediate the characteristic L-shaped molecular structure. tRNAs have two regions of fundamental functional importance: the anti-codon, which is responsible for specific mRNA codon recognition, and the 3' end, to which the tRNAs corresponding amino acid is attached (by aminoacyl-tRNA synthetases). tRNAs cope with the degeneracy of the genetic code in two manners: having more than one tRNA (with a specific anti-codon) for a particular amino acid; and 'wobble' base-pairing, i.e. permitting non-standard base-pairing at the 3rd anti-codon position.
Source: Rfam by way of RNAcentral
GGGAAGGUGGCUCAGUGGUAGAGUGCUUGCCUUGCAUGCAUGAGACCCUGGGUUCGAUUCCUCCCCA